Molecule: long non-coding RNA, 778 nt
Filed under: Chinchilla lanigera (long-tailed chinchilla)
Lineage: Eukaryota; Metazoa; Chordata; Mammalia; Rodentia; Chinchillidae
Description: lncRNA (ENSCLAG00000025244.1)
Source: RNAcentral
UUUCCUUGAAGCAGCAGUCUCCUGUCAGUUCCUUAUGGAAAUCUACAGAGUAGUUCUUUUUGUUUUGUUUUGUUUUCCAAACUGCCUCAAAAGAAUGCUUCCUCUGUUGACAAAAUCUGAAGCUCCCCACCCUCCACCCCUUCUGCAGUUGUCUGGUUAGGCGCCCCACAGAAACAAUCUGGAAAGAAUUGAGGCCCCUCUGGAGGUUUCCUUGGCAAAAACUUUCCACCUUUUCAGGCCAGCCCACUUGGUUCGGAGGCGAUCUCAAUCGGGCAGCGAAUGUCACUCCUUGCUACCUCUGGUGAACAAAGGAUGCACCUCCCAGAAAAGCUUCACCUGUCUGCACCACAGCAUGUAAACCUGAAGGACCCUUUCCAUUUCAACAAAGGGGAUGGUUUGGCUUGGCCCUGAGGCCUGACAGCCGUCUAAGGUCAAAGGGAGGAUGUGAACAGUGCUGCCGGACUAGCUCUUGGAGGAAAAGCAGUAUGGAAUUGGUGACUACCACUGCUUCAAAGCAUGCACUGUUGAUGGAGAAAUGGCUGGGCCAGAGAAGAUUCCAUGAGUCAAAACAGCAUAAACUUGGGUGGCUCCCACUGAGAAAAGUUUGUCAGCUGCCUGGCUCCAAAUGUCUGCCAUGCCAUCCACAAGGAUAACUACAUAGUCCUUCACAUCUCCUACUGCAUCCUGUGGACCACUUCAUUGGCCUUCUUCUGUUCUUUGAGAAUCAAAGCAGGGGCUGGGGAUUUAGCUCAGUGGCAAAAGCGCCUGCCUGGCGAGC